UCCCUGGUGGCUCAUUGGUAGAGAAUCUGCCUGCCAAUGCAGGAGACACAGGUUCAAUCCCUGACCUGGGAA
Non-coding RNA from Bos taurus (domestic cattle), 72 nucleotides. The record is from Rfam. NCBI's taxonomy places the organism in Eukaryota, Metazoa, Chordata, Mammalia, Artiodactyla, Bovidae.